UGGGGAAUAUUGGACAAUGGGCGCAAGCCUGAUCCAGCCAUGCCGCGUGAGUGAUGAAGGCCCUAGGGUUGUAAAGCUCUUUCAACGGUGAAGAUAAUGACGGUAACCGUAGAAGAAGCCCCGGCUAACUUCGUGCCAGCAGCCGCGGUAAUACGAAGGGGGCUAGCGUUGUUCGGAAUUACUGGGCGUAAAGCGCACGUAGGCGGAUUGUUAAGUUAGGGGUGAAAUCCCAGGGCUCAACCCUGGAACUGCCUUUAAUACUGGCAAUCUCGAGUCCGAGAGAGGUGAGUGGAAUUCCGAGUGUAGAGGUGAAAUUCGUAGAUAUUCGGAGGAACACCAGUGGCGAAGGCGGCUCACUGGCUCGGUACUGACGCUGAGGUGCGAAAGCGUGGGGAGCAAACA
RNAcentral lists this ribosomal RNA (402 nucleotides) under uncultured Mesorhizobium sp. RNAcentral's name for it is "bacterial SSU rRNA". It matches the Rfam family "Bacterial small subunit ribosomal RNA", at positions 355 to 774 of the family's 1533-position model. Lineage: Bacteria; Pseudomonadati; Pseudomonadota; Alphaproteobacteria; Hyphomicrobiales; Phyllobacteriaceae. RNAcentral also lists the same sequence under 1 other name. The record is from RNAcentral.